UUCCGGUUGAUCCUGCCGGAGGUUACUGCUUUCGGUGUUCGACUAAGCCAUGCAAGUCAUAUGUUCCUCGUGAACAUGGCAUACUGCUCAGUAACACGUGGAUAACCUGCCCUUGGGUCUGGGAUAACCCCGGGAAACUGGGGAUAAUAUCGGAUAACGCAUAUGUGCUGGAAUGCUUUAUGCGUAAAACGGAUUCGUCCGCCCAAGGAUGGGUCUGCGGCCUAUCAGGUAGUAGUGGGUGUAAUGUACCUACUAGCCAACAACGGGUACGGGUUGUGAGAGCAAGAGCCCGGAGAUGGAUUCUGAGACAUGAAUCCAGGCCCUACGGGGCGCAGCAGGCGCGAAAACUUUACAAUGCGGGAAACCGUGAUAAGGGAACACCGAGUGCCAGCAUCAUAUGCUGGCUGUCCAGAUGUGUAAACUACAUCUGUUAGCAAGGGCCGGGCAAGACCGGUGCCAGCCGCCGCGGUAACACCGGCGGACCGAGUGGUGACCGUUAUUAUUUGGGUCUAAAGGGUCCGUA
This 523-nucleotide ribosomal RNA is filed under the name uncultured archaeon. RNAcentral's name for it is "bacterial SSU rRNA". It matches the Rfam family "Archaeal small subunit ribosomal RNA", at positions 1 to 523 of the family's 1478-position model. The record is from RNAcentral.